This is a long non-coding RNA of Camellia sinensis, 470 nucleotides long. RefSeq lists it as uncharacterized. NCBI's taxonomy places the organism in Eukaryota, Viridiplantae, Streptophyta, Magnoliopsida, Ericales, Theaceae. The record is from RefSeq and is a predicted model, not a curated record.
ACACUUUUGUCUCAGACACUACCAAACCUCACCCCCACUCACCAUCAGCGCUCGCCACCGUCGCACUUCGACAUCGCCACCUGCAAAUCACCACCGCCACAUAAUCACAGCAAAUGGAGACGAGCUUUUGGGACCAAUGGGAAGAAGAGGCACUUUCCAAGUUGGAAUCUCUGAAACUCCUCUAUUCUCUUCAGACCCAUUCACCCCUAUCAAUGAAUAAUUGAAACCCAUCGAUACCCAGAUCAAGAAUGCUUCAAAAUACGAUGAAUUCGAGGUGUUCGACGGUUUGCGGCAAUGGGGUAGGGCAUCUGUUGAAGUAGUGAUUGCUGAUAGCACAUUUCAGAGAUGGGUUUGUGAGGUUCCGAGUUGUGGUACGGUUAAUUUAAUUGGGUUUCAUUUUGUUUUCUUGUGUUUCAUCUUUUUCUGGGUUUGUUUUGAUUUGAAUGAGUUCUGAGUUUUUGAAUUCAGCA